UAUAAAUGUCAUAAUAAUGCAGGACAUACCGCAACUAUACAGAGAAGAUUAGCAUGGCCCCUGCACAAGAAUGACACGCAAAUUCGUGAAGCUUUCCAUAUUUUU
Molecule: small nuclear RNA, 105 nt
Organism: Pseudophryne corroboree (corroboree frog)
Lineage: Eukaryota; Metazoa; Chordata; Amphibia; Anura; Myobatrachidae
Source: RefSeq, a predicted model, not a curated record